RNAcentral lists this ribosomal RNA (117 nucleotides) under uncultured bacterium. RNAcentral describes it as "partial 16S ribosomal RNA". It matches the Rfam family "Bacterial small subunit ribosomal RNA", at positions 238 to 353 of the family's 1533-position model. The record is from RNAcentral.
GGAUUAGCUAGUGGUAGGGUAACGGCUCACCUAGGCGACGAUCCCUAGCUGGUCUGAGAGGAUGACCAGCCACACUGGAACUGAGACACGGUCCAGACUCCUACGGGAGGCAGCAUG